CAGUAGCCGCGGUAAUACGAGGGGGGCUAGCGUUGUUCGGAUUUACUGGGCGUAAAGGGCGCGUAGGCGGACUGAUAAGUCAGGGGUGAAAUCCCAAGGCUCAACCUUGGAACUGCCUUUGAUACUGUUUGUCUUGAGUUCGAGAGAGGUAAGUGGAACUGCGAGUGUAGAGGUGAAAUUCGUAGAUAUUCGCAAGAACACCAGUGGCGAAGGCGGCUUACUGGCUCGAAACUGACGCUGAGGCGCGAAAGCGUGGGGAGCAAACAGGAUUAGAUACCCCCGUAGUCCCUGUCUCUUAUAC
RNAcentral lists this ribosomal RNA (301 nucleotides) under uncultured bacterium. RNAcentral's name for it is "partial 16S ribosomal RNA". It matches the Rfam family "Bacterial small subunit ribosomal RNA", at positions 509 to 807 of the family's 1533-position model. The record is from RNAcentral.